ACGGCUGAACCAGCAAUUUGGAAGAAUGUAACGAAAAAGGAUAAUAUUUCCUUUUUUAGUGGUUUAUCCGCAUAAAAUUCUAGAUAAAAAUUGAUAAUGACAAUUUUUUAUCUAUAAGUCUUGACAAAAUCACGUGCCAGCAGUCGCGGUAAUACGGGAAAGACGAGUGUUAUUCAUCUUUUAUAGGUUUAAAGGGUACCUAGACAGCUUAUUUAACCUUCUCAAGGAUACAAAUAAGCUAGAGUUUUAUGUAAGAGGUAUAUCAGUACUGACGGAGUAGAGAUAAAAUUCUCUGAUACUGUAGGGCACUGGUAAUGGCGAAGGCAACCCUUUAUGUGAAAACUGACGUUGAGGGACGAAGGCUUGGGUAACAAACAGGAUUAGAUACCCUAAUAGUCCAGGCAGACAAUGAUGAGUGCCAUAGGUUAGAAAUAAUUUGAUCUAUAAAUGAAAGUGUAAGCAUUCCACCUCAAGAGUAAUGUGGCAACGCAGGAACUGAAAUCAUUAGACCGUUUCUGGAACCAGUAGUGAAGUAUGUUAUUUAAUUCGAUGACCCACGAAUAACCUUACCAUAAUUUGAAUAUUAUACUAAUUUAUUACAAUUUCCAAUAAGGAAAAACUGCAAUAAAUUAUUUAUAAUACAGGUGCUGCACGGCUGUCUUUAGUUAAUGUCGUGAGACGCAGGUUAGAUCCAUAAAUUAACGUAAGCCCUUGC
RNAcentral lists this ribosomal RNA (715 nucleotides) under Nyungwea pallida. RNAcentral's name for it is "mitochondrial SSU rRNA". It matches the Rfam family "Bacterial small subunit ribosomal RNA", at positions 379 to 1109 of the family's 1533-position model. The record is from RNAcentral. Lineage: Eukaryota; Fungi; Ascomycota; Arthoniomycetes; Arthoniales; Opegraphaceae.